UAACAAGGAUUCCCCUAGUAACGGCGAGUGAAGCGGGAAGAGCUCAAAUUUGUAAUCUGGCGGUCUCAGGCCGUCCGAGUUGUAGUCUGGAGAAGUGCUUUCCGUGCCGGACCGUGUACAAGUCCCUUGGAACAGGGCGUCAUAGAGGGUGAGAAUCCCGUCUCUGACACGGACUACCGGUGCUCUGUGAUGCGCUCUCGAAGAGUCGAGUUGUUUGGGAAUGCAGCUCAAAAUGGGUGGUAAAUUCCAUCUAAAGCUAAAUAUUGGCGAAAGACCGAUAGCGAACAAGUACCGUGAGGGAAAGAUGAAAAGCACUUUGGAAAGAGAGUUAAACAGUACGUGAAAUUGUUGAAAGGGAAACGCUUGAAGUCAGUCGCGUCUCGUGAGACUCAGCCGGGCCUUGCCCGGUGCACUUCUCGCUGUGACGGGCCAGCAUCGAUUUCGAUCGUCGGAGAAAGGCUUUGGGAAUGUGGCACCUUCGGGUGUGUUAUAGCCCUUUGUCGUAUGCGACGGUGGGGAUCGAGGACCGCAGCACGCCCUUCACGGGGCCGGGGUUCGCCCACGUAACGUGCUUAGGAUGCUGGCGUAAUGGCUUUAAGCGACCCGUCUU
This 610-nucleotide ribosomal RNA is filed under the name Austrogautieria sp. OSC122637. RNAcentral describes it as "eukaryotic LSU rRNA". It matches the Rfam family "Eukaryotic large subunit ribosomal RNA", at positions 66 to 655 of the family's 3401-position model. Lineage: Eukaryota; Fungi; Basidiomycota; Agaricomycetes; Hysterangiales; Gallaceaceae. The record is from RNAcentral.